GAUGAACGCUGGCGGCGUGCCUAAUACAUGCAAGUCGAGCGAACAGACGAGUAUCUUGCUCCUCUGACGUUUGCCGCUGACGUGUGAGUAACACGUGUAUAACCUCCCUAUUAGUCUGUUAUACCUUCGGGAACCCGUUGCUAAUACCGUCUAAUUUCUUGAACCGCAUGGUUCCAUUGUGAAAUUCGGUUUUUCUGUCUCUUAUAGAUGGAUCCGCGCCGCAUUAGCUAGUUGUUAAGGUAACGGCUUACCAAGGCUACGAUGCGUAGCGGACCUGAGAGGGGGAUAGGCCACACUGGAACGGAGACACGGACAAGACUCCUACGGGAGGCAGCAGUAGGGAAUAUUGGGCAAUGGGCGAAAGCAUGACGGAGCAAGGCCGCGUGAGUGAAGAAGGUCUUCGGAUCGUAAAACACUGUUAUUAGGGAAGAAAAAAUGUGGAAGAAAAUAUGCAGGUGAUGACGGUACCGAAAGAGAAAGCAACGGCUAACUACGUG
RNAcentral lists this ribosomal RNA (497 nucleotides) under uncultured bacterium. RNAcentral's name for it is "partial 16S ribosomal RNA". It matches the Rfam family "Bacterial small subunit ribosomal RNA", at positions 28 to 507 of the family's 1533-position model. The record is from RNAcentral.